This 396-nucleotide ribosomal RNA is filed under the name uncultured bacterium. RNAcentral describes it as "partial 16S ribosomal RNA". It matches the Rfam family "Bacterial small subunit ribosomal RNA", at positions 338 to 731 of the family's 1533-position model. The record is from RNAcentral.
CCUACGGGUGGCAGCAGUGAGGAAUAUUGGUCAAUGGGCGCGAGCCUGAACCAGCCAAGUAGCGUGAAGGAUGACUGCCCUACGGGUUGUAAACCUCUUUUAUAAAGGAAUAAAGUGAGGCACGUGUGCCUUUUUGUAUGUACUUUAUGAAUAAGGAACGGCUAACCUCGUGCCAGGAGCCGCGGUAAUACGGAGGAUCCGAGCGUUAUCCGGAUUUAUUGGGUUUAAAGGGAGCGUAGGUGGGUUGUUAAGUCAGUUGUGAAAGUCUGCGGGCCAACCGUCAAAUUGCAAUUGAUACUGGCAGCCUUGAGUACGGUUGAGGUAGGCGGAAUUCGUGGUGUAGCGGUGAAAUGCUUAGAUAUCACGAAGAACUCCGAUUGCGAAGGCAGCUUACUA